This 432-nucleotide ribosomal RNA is filed under the name uncultured bacterium. RNAcentral's name for it is "partial 16S ribosomal RNA". It matches the Rfam family "Bacterial small subunit ribosomal RNA", at positions 29 to 507 of the family's 1533-position model. The record is from RNAcentral.
AACGAACGCUGGCGGCAUGCCUAACACAUGCAAGUCGAACGAGACCUUCGGGUCUAGUGGCGCACGGGUGCGUAACGCGUGGGAACCUGCCCUUAGGUUCGGAAUAACUCCCCGAAAGGGGUGCUAAUACCGGAUAAUGUCUUCGGACCAAAGAUUUAUCGCCUUUGGAUGGGCCCGCGUUGGAUUAGCUAGUUGGUAGGGUAAAAGCCUACCAAGGCGACGAUCCAUAGCUGGUCUGAGAGGAUGAUCAGCCACACUGGGACUGAGACACGGCCCAGACUCCUACGGGAGGCAGCAGUGGGGAAUAUUGGACAAUGGGCGAAAGCCUGAUCCAGCAAUGCCGCGUGAGUGAUGAAGGCCUUAGGGUUGUAAAGCUCUUUUACCCGGGAUGAUAAUGACAGUACCGGGAGAAUAAGCCCGGCUAACUCCGUG